Molecule: long non-coding RNA, 1001 nt
Organism: Ziziphus jujuba (common jujube)
Lineage: Eukaryota; Viridiplantae; Streptophyta; Magnoliopsida; Rosales; Rhamnaceae
Exons: 7
Source: RefSeq, a predicted model, not a curated record
UUUCUGUUAAAACCAGCGUGAGUUUUAGAGAGUCCUUUUGUUUUUGCCGUGCGCUGGUUCUACCAAAGCAGUCAACAACGCCUCCAAAAAAUCGAAGAAUCUUGAGUGUCCGUGAGGCAGUGGUUUCGACGGAUUUUCACGUAGUGCUUUUAGCAGGAGGCACCUCUAAGAACCUCGUUCCUCUCGUCUCCAAGGAGGUUCCCCAGGCGCUUCUUCCUGUGGCCAACCUCCCGGUUCUCUCCUACGUUUUGGAGCUUUUGGAACUCAGUAAUCUUAAGGAUCUCAUUGUUGCAUGGUUUUCUUCUCCGUAUUACUUAUUGCCCUAAAUUUUAUGGAAGGUGGUCGAAGGGGAAGAUGCGGCUCUUCGUGUUGGUGGUUGGAUUUCGGGUGCUUAUGUGGACUGUUUACAGUUGAGGUUGCCGCAGUCCCCGAGGAUGUUGGAACACUGGUGCAAUUAGGGCUAUUUCACACCAUCUUACAGCAAAAGACAUAUUGGUUGUAAGUGGAGAUAUUGUUUCUGAUGUUCCCCCUGGUGCAGUUGCCGCUGCUCAUAGACGACAUGAUGCUGUCGUAACUGCAAUGCUUUGCUCUGCUUCUAUCAGUGGACCUUUGGAGUCAGGAACCUCUAGUGGGAAGGACAAAAGCAAGAAACCUGGACUCUGUAAUAUUAUUGGAUUAGACCCACAAAGCAAUUUUUACUCUACACAGCAACAGGAGGGGCACUUGAGAAAGAUACAAGAAUUCAGAAGAGCAUACUCCGUGCAGUUGGACAGUUAUGCAAUUGGCUAGGGAGAAGUGAUGGAGACAACUCAUACGGUGGAGGGAAUAGUGUAUGGUUGCGAUUUUAUAAAUUUGUUUUAUAUGGGUUUUCUAUAGAGGCCGGGUAUUUAUCCCCACCAUGUUUAUGAAUAUAUGAAUCAUAGAGUUACAGAAAGUGGAAUACAAUAAAUCAUCAAUAAAUCAUCACCUUCAUUAGUGUUCGCCAGAGAAAAUGUAGUUGC